This is a long non-coding RNA of Oncorhynchus tshawytscha (Chinook salmon), 716 nucleotides long. The record is from Ensembl. NCBI's taxonomy places the organism in Eukaryota, Metazoa, Chordata, Actinopteri, Salmoniformes, Salmonidae.
GAGGGGCGGGCGAGACGCGGGCGAGACUGCCGACACGCAACUAGUGACACGCAACUAGUGACACGCAACUAGUGACACGCAGGCGAGACUACCGACACGCAGCUACCGACACGCGGGCGAGACUACCGACACGCAGCUGCCGACACGCGGGCGAGACUACCGACACGCAGCUACCGACACGCGGGCGAGACUACCGACACGCAGCUACCGACACGCGGGCGAGACUACCGACACGCAGCUACCGACACGCAGCUACCGACACGCGGGCGAGACUACCGACACGCAGCUACCGACACGCAGCUACCGACACGCGGGCGAGACUACCGACACGCAGCUACCGACACGCAGGCGAGACUACCGACACGCAGCUACCGACACGCAACUAGUGACACGCAGCUACCGACACGCAACUAGUGACACGCAACUAGUGACACGCAACUAGUGACACGCAGGCGAGACUACCGACACGCAACUAGUGACACGCAACUAGUGACACGCAACUAGUGACACGCAACUAGUGACACGCAACUAGUGACACGCAGGCGAGACUACCGACACGCAGCUACCGACACGCAGCUACCGACACGCAGCUACCGACACGCAGCUACCGACACGCAGCUACCGACACGCAACUAGUGACACGCAACUAGUGACACGCAACUACCGACACGCAACUAGUGACACGCAACUAGUGACACGCAACUAGUGACACGCAG